Molecule: long non-coding RNA, 1004 nt
Filed under: Sus scrofa (pig)
Lineage: Eukaryota; Metazoa; Chordata; Mammalia; Artiodactyla; Suidae
Description: lncRNA (ENSSSCG00065071021.1)
Source: RNAcentral
CUAUUAUGAGGUCAGGGUCAUUUAUAAGAAAAGUACUGGUUUCAUGUAAGCAUCUCAAACCUGUCUUUUCUCAAGAUGUAGGUAUCUGUGUGACGGAGUGCCGUGUAGACCAGGACUGUGGGGAAGGAAGACUAUGCAUCAGUAAUGGGUGUGGCCGUGUCUGCUUCCCAGGGCGAAGAGAGGCCUGCGAGCACCAGUGCAGAGAAGACAGGGACUGUGGGAGUGGACAUCAGUGCGUGAGGAAGGGCUGUGGGCACGUCUGCGCCCCCGUCCAUCAAGUCGAUGUAGGUAUCUGUGUGACGGAGUGCAAGGUAGACCAGGACUGUGGGGCAGGAAGACGAUGCACCAGCAAUGGAUGUGGCCGGGUCUGCUCCCCAAUCCAGCGAAGAGAGGCCUGCGAGCACCAGUGCAGAGAAGACAGGGACUGUGGGAGUGGACAUCAGUGCGUGAGGAAGGGCUGUGGGCACGUCUGCGCCCCCGUCCAUCAAGUCGAUGUAGGUAUCUGUGUGACGGAGUGCCGUGUAGACCAGGACUGUGGGGAAGGAAGACAAUGCACCAGCAAUGGAUGUGGCCGUGUCUGCUCCCCAGCCCAGCAAAGAGAGGCCUGCGAGCACCAAUGCAGAGAAGACAAGGACUGUGGGAGUGGACAUCAGUGCGUGAGGAAGGGCUGUGGGCACGUCUGCUCCCCCAUCCCUCAAGUAGGUAUCUGUGUGACGGAGUGCAAUGUAGACCAGGACUGUGGGGCAGGAAGACGAUGCACCAGCAAUGGAUGUGGCCGGGUCUGCUCCCCACCCCAGGGAGGAGGACUCUGUGUGGACCGCUGCCGAGGAAACUGGGACUGUGGGGCCGGAGAAGAAUGUAUCAGGAAGGGAUGUGGACGGGUCUGCUCUCCAGCCCAGGAGCCAGGUAAGAGCCCUGCCUAGGUCUCCAACCCCACACAACCCAGGAGGGGACUGUGUGCUUACCUCUGCCUGGACUCCCCUUCCUUAGAGGGUUAAUUCCCA